CAGCCGCCGCGGUAAUACGAAGGGGGCUAGCGUUGUUCGGAAUUACUGGGCGUAAAGCGCACGUAGGCGGAUUGUUAAGUUAGGGGUGAAAUCCCAGGGCUCAACCCUGGAACUGCCUCUAAUACUGGCAAUCUCGAGUCCGAGAGAGGUGAGUGGAGUUCCGAGUGUAGAGGUGAAAUUCGUAGAUAUUCGGAGGAACACCAGUGGCGAAGGCGGCUCACUGGCUCGGUACUGACGCUGAGGUGCGAAAGCGUGGGGAGCAAACAGGAUUAGAUACCCCGGUAGUCCCUGUCUCUUAUAC
This 301-nucleotide ribosomal RNA is filed under the name uncultured bacterium. RNAcentral's name for it is "partial 16S ribosomal RNA". It matches the Rfam family "Bacterial small subunit ribosomal RNA", at positions 509 to 807 of the family's 1533-position model. The record is from RNAcentral.